This 305-nucleotide ribosomal RNA is filed under the name uncultured bacterium. RNAcentral's name for it is "bacterial SSU rRNA". It matches the Rfam family "Bacterial small subunit ribosomal RNA", at positions 338 to 657 of the family's 1533-position model. The record is from RNAcentral.
CCUACGGGAGGCAGCAGUGGGGAAUAUUGGGCAAUGGAGGCAACUCUGACCCAGCAACGCCGCGUGAAUGAUGAAGGUCUUCGGAUUGUAAAGUUCUGUGAUGGGGGAUGAACACAAUGACGGUACCCCAAUAGCAAGCCACGGCUAACUACGUGCCAGCAGCCGCGGUAAUACGUAGGGGGCAAGCGUUAUCCGGAUUUACUGGGUGUAAAGGGAGCGUAGACGGUGUGGCAAGUCUGAAGUGAAAGCCCGGGGCUCAACCCCGGGACUGCUUUGGAAACUGUCAUGCUGGAGGGCUGGAGAGG